AAUAAGCGAAAGCUUGACAGGGUUACUCUGAGUGAUUUCCGCUAAGGAAGUCUUUUGGCACCUGUAAAAAUGGUGCAGAAUAAGGGGUGGGCAAGUCUGGUGUCAGCCGCCGCGGUAAUACA
Molecule: ribosomal RNA, 122 nt
Filed under: uncultured crenarchaeote
Lineage: Archaea; Thermoproteati; Thermoproteota
Description: partial 16S ribosomal RNA
Rfam family: Archaeal small subunit ribosomal RNA
Source: RNAcentral